This 1177-nucleotide ribosomal RNA is filed under the name uncultured bacterium. Its description in RNAcentral is "bacterial SSU rRNA". It matches the Rfam family "Bacterial small subunit ribosomal RNA", at positions 195 to 1377 of the family's 1533-position model. The record is from RNAcentral.
AGGGAUUUAAAGCUUUGGUGGAUACGGAUUGGCUCGCGUGACAUUAGCUGGAUGGUAGGGUAACGGCCUACCAUGGCUACGAUGUCUAGGGGUUCUGAGAGGAAGAUCCCCCACACUGGAACUGAGACACGGUCCAGACUCCUACGGGAGGCAGCAGUGAGGAAUAUUGGACAAUGGAUGGAAAUCUGAUCCAGCCAUGCCGCGUGCAGGAAGACGGCCCUAUGGGUUGUAAACUGCUUUUAUACGGGAAGAAUAGGCCCAACGAGUUGGGAUUUGCCGGUAAGGUAUGAAUAAGCAUCGGCUAACUCCGUGCCAGCAGCCGCGGUAAUACGGAGGGUGCAAGCGUUAUCCGGAUUCAUUGGGUUUAAAGGGUGCGUAGGCGGCUUUUUAAGUCAGUGGUGAAAUACUGCCGCUUAACGGUAGAAUUGCCAUUGAUACUGUUUUUCUUGAGUAUGGUUGAGGUAGGUGGAAUGUGUUGUGUAGCGGUGAAAUGCAUAGAUAUGACACAGAACGCCGAUUGCGAAGGCAGCUUACUAAGCCAUUACUGACGCUGAGGCACGAAAGCGUGGGGAUCGAACAGGAUUAGAUACCCUGGUAGUCCACGCCGUAAACGAUGAUCACUCGCUGUUUGCGAUAUACAGCAAGCGGCUGAGCGAAAGCAUUAAGUGAUCCACCUGGGGAGUACGAUCGCAAGGUUGAAACUCAAAGGAAUUGACGGGGGCCCGCACAAGCGGAGGAACAUGUGGUUUAAUUCGAUGAUACGCGAGGAACCUUACCUGGGCUUAAAUGUAGAGCGACAGCUUGUGAAAGCAGGCUUUCUUCGGACGAUCUACAAGGUGCUGCAUGGUUGUCGUCAGCUCGUGCCGUGAGGUGUCGGGUUAAGUCCCAUAACGAGCGCAACCCUUAUCGUUAGUUGCCAGCGGGUUAAGCCGGGGACUCUAGCGAGACUGCCACCGUAAGGUGAGAGGAAGGUGGGGAUGACGUCAAAUCAGCACGGCCCUUAUGUCUUGGGCUACACACGUACUACAAUGGCCUGAACAGAGGGACGCUACCUAGUGAUAGGAUGCUAAUCUCAUAAAGCCUCUCUCAGUUCGGAUCGGAGUCUGCAACUCGACUCCGUGAAGCUGGAUUCGCUAGUAAUCGCGCAUCAGCCAUGGCGCGGUGAAUACGUUCCCGG